RNAcentral lists this ribosomal RNA (501 nucleotides) under uncultured bacterium. RNAcentral describes it as "partial 16S ribosomal RNA". It matches the Rfam family "Bacterial small subunit ribosomal RNA", at positions 30 to 523 of the family's 1533-position model. The record is from RNAcentral.
AUUGAACGCUGGCGGCAGGCUUAACACAUGCAAGUCGAGCGGAGAUGAGGUGCUUGCACCUUAUCUUAGCGGCGGACGGGUGAGUAAUGCUUAGGAAUCUGCCUAUUAGUGGGGGACCACAUUCCGAAAGGAAUGCUAAUACCGCAUACGUCCUACGGGAGAAAGCAGGGGAUCUUCGGACCUCGCGCUAAUAGAUGAGCCUAAGUCGGAUUAGCUAGUGGGUGGGGUAAAGGCCUACCAAGGCGACGAUCUGUAGCGGGUCUGAGAGGAUGAUCCGCCACACUGGGACUGAGACACGGGCCAGACUCCUACGGGAGGCAGCAGUGGGGAAUAUUGGACAAUGGGGGGAACCCUGAUCCAGCCAUGCCGCGUGUGUGAAGAAGGCCUUAUGGUUGUAAAGCACUUUAAGCGAGGAGGAGGCUACUGAGACUAAUACUCUUGGAUAGUGGACGUUACUCGCAGAAUAAGCACCGGCUAACUCUGUGCCAGCAGCCGCAGUAA